Molecule: unclassified non-coding RNA, 298 nt
Filed under: uncultured Pleosporales
Lineage: Eukaryota; Fungi; Ascomycota; Dothideomycetes; Pleosporales
Description: sequence contains ITS1
Rfam family: 5.8S ribosomal RNA (bases 1-105)
Source: RNAcentral
GAAAUGCGAUAAGUAGUGUGAAUUGCAGAAUUCAGUGAAUCAUCGAAUCUUUGAACGCACAUUGCGCCCUUUGGUAUUCCUUAGGGCAUGCCUGUUCGAGCGUCAUUUAACCCCUCAAGCCCAGCUUGGUGUUGGGCGUCUGUCCCGCCUCCGCGCGCGGACUCGCCUCGAAGACAUUGGCAGCCGGUACGUUGGCUUCGAGCGCAGCAGAAACGCGCCUCGCGCCCGGCGGACCGGCUCUCCAGGAAGCCUCUCCACUCUUGACCUCGGAUCAGGUAGGGAUACCCGCUGAACUUAA